Molecule: ribosomal RNA, 457 nt
Filed under: uncultured Oxalobacteraceae bacterium
Lineage: Bacteria; Pseudomonadati; Pseudomonadota; Betaproteobacteria; Burkholderiales; Oxalobacteraceae
Description: bacterial SSU rRNA
Rfam family: Bacterial small subunit ribosomal RNA
Source: RNAcentral
CGGGAGGCAGCAGUGGGGAAUUUUGGACAAUGGGCGAAAGCCUGAUCCAGCAAUGCCGCGUGAGUGAAGAAGGCCUUCGGGUUGUAAAGCUCUUUUGUCAGGGAAGAAACGGUAGAGGCUAAUAUCCUUUACUAAUGACGGUACCUGAAGAAUAAGCACCGGCUAACUACGUGCCAGCAGCCGCGGUAAUACGUAGGGUGCAAGCGUUAAUCGGAAUUACUGGGCGUAAAGCGUGCGCAGGCGGUUGUGCAAGACAGAUGUGAAAUCCCCGGGCUCAACCUGGGAAUUGCAUUUGUGACUGCACAGCUAGAGUGUGUCAGAGGGGGGUAGAAUUCCACGUGUAGCAGUGAAAUGCGUAGAUAUGUGGAGGAAUACCGAUGGCGAAGGCAGCCCCCUGGGAUAACACUGACGCUCAUGCACGAAAGCGUGGGGAGCAAACAGGAUUAGAUACCCUUGU